AGGAAGAAGCAGGCUCCCAGCUGAGGAGCCUGACGUGGGGCUCGAUCCCAUAACGCCGGGAUCACGCCCUGAGCCGUAGGCAGACGCCUAACCGCUGUGCCACCCAGGCGCCCCAAGAAACAGCAUUUUUGUGACAAGGAUUGUAGGGCAGUGGGGAUCCUUUUCCCUUCAUUCUAGUCAUUUGGUGGCUGAAAAAUCUUUGGCAGCAGAAAAUUUAAGUGAGAGCUUGAAUGUUUGAUUUUUCCAAGGUUGGUGCCCCAGUCCCCACCUGCUGAGUUCGGGGUUACAGAAAACCCUACAGGAAAGAGCCAUGGGCCCCAGUCACAGCUCGGGCGUUGCAAGGGAAAGAACAGGGUUGGACAAGGUGAUUUUACCUACAACUAACUGAAGCUGUUGGCCAGCACACCCCCACCCCACCCCCUGGCCCCCCAAGCUCCGGCCCUUUUAACUUAUCUCUUCGAAAAUCCAGACCCGAGCAGUCAGAUGUGUGUGUGUAAUUUUUCCCAUUUUAUAGACGAGAGGGUGGGAAUUCAAUGGGGCUGAAAUUCUUCCUUUCAAAAACCUCGUGAGUUUCUCUGGAAUGCCAGCCUUCCGGAAGCUUCUCUGCUCAGUGCCUGUUAAUCCUCUACUGAGAGCUGAUAACGAGGUGAGGGUGUUUUUUCUUUAGGUGGAUAAAAAGAGCAUUACUUCUUUCUUUUUCUGGCCUGUAGUGUCUAUGCAAGUUAUUUUUUUGCCCAUUAAAAAGUGUCAUUGUUUAAACCAUACUGGUUUUCACAAGAUGAUUAACAACUGAAUUUCCUUUGUUAAAAAUAAAGGGGGAGAGCUUCUCCCCUCAGACAAUUGAGUGUGUCCUGCAGAUAAGCCUGACUCGAAAGUUCCACACUCUUCUUUCUCUCCCGUGUUUGUUUUCCUUCUCAGCCCGAGUCUGUGAGGCCAACUUUGCACCUGCUGCUGAAAUAAUUUAGGUAUUACUGUCCCAGCUAACGCAAACCAGAGCGCUUGCCUUUGGUUUAAUGUGACCACCUCGGAUGGACGGAUGGGCUGAGAACGCUCCACAGAAGCUUUUUUUUUUUUUUUUUUUUUUUGCUUCCAAAAUUCCUUUGAGGCAAGUAGAGGUAAACAUUUUCGGCCUCAGCCAGCCAAGGACGUGUAGUAGGAGAGGAUUAGCGGGGAAGGGGUGGGGGUGGGGGGCCAGAGCCUCCAGAAUCCUUGUUGUGCUUCAAUAAAAGGUCACAAAGCUCUCUGUGUUCUCUCCCUCCUGAGGGUCCAGACCAGAAUGCCUUCUUAUCUGUGUCAUCUGGCCCCACCCCAUCCACUGGCUGCAGGUGACCAGUGAGCAUCUGAAAUGUGGCUGCUGUGAGCCCAGGUGUUCUCUAAAUAUAAAGUUGAUACCAGAUGUCAGAGACUUAGUAAAAAUAUAUCUAAUAAUAUUUUUGCGGGGCGCCUGGGCAGCUUAGCAGGUUAAGCGUCUGCCUUAGGCUCAGGUCGUGAUCCCAGGGUCCUGGAUUCGAGUCCUGCAUUGGGCUCCCUGCUCAGUGAGGAGCCUGCUUCUCCCUCUCCCCUUGCCUGCCACUCCCCCUGCGUGUGCUCUCUCUUUGUCAAAUAAAUACAUAAAAUCUUUUAAAAAAAUACUAUUUUUGAGUGGACUGCCACCUGACACACAACACAUUUGGCUUAGCUUUUUGUGGAUUAUCUGACUUGGACAUUCCCGGAAAGAGGCCUCCCAAAGCGCAGCAAAGGAUGCAGAUCUGACACCCACUGAAGGGGCCGGGGCCAAGAGUAGCUGGUAAGAGCCCCGGCAGAGUUCCACUGGGGAUUUGAAAAGAGGCGAGCAGAUACAAGGCUCCCGAGCGAAGUCUUGCAAUGUAGGAACGUGUGUCAUUCCGUCACUAUGGCAUUUCAGAAAUGUGUGCCCUCAGGACUCCAAGCUCGUCCUUUUUAAACGUUGGCCUCACCUCAGUGAUCGUGUCAAGCAAUCAGCAGCAGGCCCAGCCAGGCUAGUGUGUAAGGACUUGAACAGCUGCACGGGACAAAGGAACACCAUGGAAACGUGGGGCAAAGCCCAGGACUCAUAGUCCAAAGCCCAGGACUCCGUUUGAUUGAUGGGUUACGGUAAGAGCAUGCUGGGGCCUCCUGUCCGGGCCCCUUUGCUUCUUGCAAGCAUGUCCUUGCCUGUGCAACCCAGUGGGAGCUCCUACACUUCCCUCUUAAAAUCAAUGCAAGGAGCAUUGUAGCAAUAAAGAAUGAAGAGGAGGUUUACAUUCGAAAUCAUUUUGCUGGCUCGACGUCUUUCUCAACCACAACCAGGAGGUCGGGAACUCAUACAGCCAUCUGUGGGUGCACUGCACUGUUUUGAAGAGAGAGAACCCCGGCAGGAAUCAGAGCUGACACAGUUGAGUCUGCUCCGGCCGCUCGGAAGCUCGGAGUCAAGGACAAUCAACUGUGCGUGAAGUCAGCAACUGGCUCCAGCGUUUUCUGGUUUUGUAAUCACGGGCAAGCACCUGAGUUCCUCCUUUGUAAAACUGAGGGGAAUUCUUCCCUUCACCUGAUCACUUAACACUGGGACCCCCAUAAAAGGGCUAACAUGGGAAGACCAUAAUCAAGUUCUGCACAAAAACCCAAGUUACGAGGUCUAGACUGCGAUCUAACGGUUCGUUGCUAGAAGCAACAAGUAACUCUCGAUAUUUCUCAGUCUUGCUUUACCCGCCAUUAAAAACCAUUCUGGCCAUAUCAGGA
Long non-coding RNA from Ailuropoda melanoleuca (giant panda), 2736 nucleotides. RefSeq lists it as uncharacterized. The record is from RefSeq and is a predicted model, not a curated record. The transcript is spliced from 2 exons. Lineage: Eukaryota; Metazoa; Chordata; Mammalia; Carnivora; Ursidae.